Molecule: ribosomal RNA, 493 nt
Filed under: Thymogethes oreophilus
Lineage: Eukaryota; Metazoa; Arthropoda; Insecta; Coleoptera; Nitidulidae
Description: partial 16S ribosomal RNA
Source: RNAcentral
CAUGUCCUUUUGAUAAUAAAAUUUAAGGUCUAACCUGCCCAAUGAUUAAGUAUUAAAUGGCCGCGGUACUUUGACCGUGCAAAGGUAGCAUAAUCAUUAGUUUUUUAAUUGAAAGCUGGAAUGAAGGGUUGAAUGAGAAAGUAACUGUCUCUAUUAUAUUUAAUUAAAACUUUAUUUUUAAGUUAAAAAGCUUAAAUUAAAUUUAUAGACGAGAAGACCCUUUAGAGUUUUAUAAAAACUUUACUUAAAAUUUUUUAGAAUUAAUUUAAUUUUAAAUUAGUUAUUUAUUUGAUUGGGGUGAUUGAAAAAUUUAAAAAACUUUUUUUUUUAUUUUACAUUUAUAUAUGAAUAAUUGAUCCAUUUAUUAUGAUUAUAAGAUUAAAUUACCUAAGGGAUAACAGCGUUAUUUUUUUUGAGAGUUCUAAUCGAAAAAAAAGUUUGCGACCUCGAUGUUGGAUUAAAAUUAAAUUAUGGUGUAGAGGCUAUAACCGCA